Molecule: ribosomal RNA, 468 nt
Filed under: uncultured bacterium
Lineage: Bacteria
Description: partial 16S ribosomal RNA
Rfam family: Bacterial small subunit ribosomal RNA
Source: RNAcentral
GACGAACGCUGGCGGCGUGCUUAACACAUGCAAGUCGAACGGAAAGGCCCUGCUUUUGUGGGGUGCUCGAGUGGCGAACGGGUGAGUAACACGUGAGUAACCUGCCCUUGACUUUGGGAUAACUUCAGGAAACUGGGGCUAAUACCGGAUAGGAGCUCCUGCUGCAUGGUGGGGGUUGGAAAGUUUCGGCGGUUGGGGAUGGACUCGCGGCUUAUCAGCUUGUUGGUGGGGUAGUGGCUUACCAAGGCUUUGACGGGUAGCCGGCCUGAGAGGGUGACCGGCGACAUGGGGACUGAGAUACGGCCCAGACUCCUACGGGAGGCAGCAGUGGGGAAUAUUGCAGAAUGGGCGGAAGCCUGAUGCAGAAACGCCGCGUGCGGGAUGACGGCCUUCGGGUUGUAAACCGCUUUCGACGGUGACGAAGCGUGAGUGACGGUAAUGGGUAAAGAAGCAACGGCUAACUACGUG